Ictidomys tridecemlineatus (thirteen-lined ground squirrel) is the source of this 104-nucleotide small nuclear RNA. NCBI's taxonomy places the organism in Eukaryota, Metazoa, Chordata, Mammalia, Rodentia, Sciuridae. The record is from Ensembl.
GUGCUUGCUUCGGCAACAUAGGUACUAAAAUUGGAAUGAUUCAGAGAUUACCAUAGCCCCCACACAAGGAUGACAUGCAAAUUCAUAAAGCAUUCCAUAUUUAA